AGGGAAGGCAAGCCAGCAAGUUGUGCUCCUCUGAGGCUUGUUUCAGGUUCCUGCCUUGAAUUCUUGUGUUGGCUUCCCUCGUGGGUUGAUAGUAACUUGCAAGUCAAACAGAGAAGCAAACUGGAGCGGAUGGCCUCAGAACCCACCUAGUGCCUCCUCCUUGUGAGCCUUCUUGCAGAAACUCGGUGGCUGCAGGCAUUCAAACGCUGUCGAGCCUGUACUCAAGUCAUACCUCCCGAGAGUCUUCUCUGGAGGACCAGGCUGGGAAGUUCACGGAAUGUCUCUAUUGUGACACACGUGCCAGAUGAGGUCUCUGCAGUGGCAGACUUUGGAGAAGUUUCACCAGAAGCACAGGAUCAUGACAACUUGUUUUUUGCACGUCACCCUUCAUUCUCUGGGCCUGGAAUCUGGAGCACUCACUUAGAUGAACCUGAGAACCUGGGCAGAGAAUGAAUUGAUGACCGUUGAUCUUGUCAGCUGUUAGGCUCUGUGACUGAGUCCCCUGAGAAAGCUGCUCUUAAACAGGACCAGAAGAUCCAAGGCCCUUUCUACAGCUGGAUCUGCUGACCAGUGCUGGAGUGAGUCUGCUGUAGCCAAGGCCCAGCCCUUCAGCCCCAUCCACGGAAACCAUCUUGGGAUCCAUCCUCUGCGUUGAAUGAUGGUUCCUUCAUCUUUAACCAUGUUGGCUGUGGUUCCAGCAGUAGGGCUUUCUCUAGCUUCGCUUCAAAAGCUCUUUGUGGUUUACCUGCCCUUUGGUCUCCCUGUCUUUGGUGACAUUGGGCCAAUCUGAGUUGACUUCAGUCCUGCCAAGGCUCUAUCUGGGAUCUGUCUACUUGGACCCUCUAUAAUGAAGAACCUCAGACAAAACAGAACUUCAGCCCUGUGAAAAUGUUCACCAGCUUUAGAAAUAAAAGAAAAAGAUUUCCAUGUA
Mesocricetus auratus (golden hamster) is the source of this 931-nucleotide long non-coding RNA. RefSeq lists it as uncharacterized. NCBI's taxonomy places the organism in Eukaryota, Metazoa, Chordata, Mammalia, Rodentia, Cricetidae. The record is from RefSeq and is a predicted model, not a curated record. The transcript has 3 exons.